GCUACACAUGCAAGUCGAACGCUGAAGCUCCAGCUUGCUGGGGUGGAUGAGUGGCGAACGGGUGAGUAAUACGUGAGUAACCUGCCCUUGACUCUGGGAUAAGCCUGGGAAACCGGGUCUAAUACUGGAUACGACGUCCUGCCGCAUGGUGGGGCGUGGAAAGGGUUUUACUGGUUUUGGAUGGGCUCACGGCCUAUCAGCUUGUUGGUGGGGUAAUGGCCUACCAAGGCGACGACGGGUAGCCGGCCUGAGAGGGUGACCGGCCACACUGGGACUGAGACACGGCCCAGACUCCUACGGGAGGCAGCAGUGGGGAAUAUUGCACAAUGGGCGGAAGCCUGAUGCAGCGACGCCGCGUGAGGGAUGACGGCCUUCGGGUUGUACACCUCUUUCAGCAGGGAAGAAGCCAC
RNAcentral lists this ribosomal RNA (410 nucleotides) under Kocuria sp. 39ND1 FL01. Its description in RNAcentral is "bacterial SSU rRNA". It matches the Rfam family "Bacterial small subunit ribosomal RNA", at positions 48 to 454 of the family's 1533-position model. Lineage: Bacteria; Bacillati; Actinomycetota; Actinomycetes; Micrococcales; Micrococcaceae. The record is from RNAcentral.